UACGAAGGGGGCUAGCGUUGCUCGGAAUCACUGGGCGUAAAGGGCGCGUAGGCGGGUCUUUAAGUUCGAUGUGAAAGCCCCGGGCUCAACCUGGGAAUGGCAUUGGAAACUGGCGGACUCGAGUGUGGCAGAGGGGGGUGGAAUUCCGCGUGUAGCAGUGAAAUGCGUAGAGAUGCGGAGGAACACCGAUGGCGAAGGCAGCCCCCUGGGUUAACACUGACGCUCAGGCACGAAAGCGUGGGGAGCAAACAGG
Molecule: ribosomal RNA, 253 nt
Filed under: uncultured bacterium
Lineage: Bacteria
Description: partial 16S ribosomal RNA
Rfam family: Bacterial small subunit ribosomal RNA
Source: RNAcentral